Molecule: unclassified non-coding RNA, 464 nt
Filed under: rhizosphere metagenome
Description: partial ribosomal RNA internal transcribed spacer region
Source: RNAcentral
UUCUCCAGGGGCAUUGCCCUGCUGAAGCCUUUCGCGGCGACUUUAAAUAUACGCGCAGUUCGGAUGGCUUCCAUCCGGGCAACGCCGUCACUGUGCUGGAAGUGUGCCUCGCGGCGAUAACCAGCGGCCGACCCCCCGGGGCGUCGGUUCACAGAUCAAACGAUGGUGGCCGCCGAAGGCGGUUUAGAUAUGACCGAGCCCAGCCGUUCGCAUGGCUGUGACAGCUGUUCCGUAGGUGAACCUGCGGAAGGAUCAUUACCGAGAUUUCGUUUAGGGCUCUGCCCACGCGUCUCCCACCCAUUGUGAACCUUACCAUUGUUGCUUUGGCGGACCAGCAGGUCUAACCCGCCGCCGGCUUUUAGCUGGCGAGUGCCCGCCAGAGUCUAAUUCAAAUUCAUUUAAUUAGUGAUGUCUGAGAAAAAAUAAAUAGCAAAAAACUUUCAACAACGGAUCUCUUGGUUCUG